CUUACCAGGUCCGGACACAGUGAGGAUUGACAGAUUGAGAGCUCUUUCUUGAUUCUGUGGGUGGUGGUGCAUGGCCGUUUUUAGUUGGUGGAGUAAUUUGUCUGGUUAAUUCCGUUAACGAACGAGACCUUAACCUAUUAAAUAGUCGUGGGAACCCAGGUCUUUCAUCCCUCUUCAGCAAUGGGGGGGAAACCAUUAUCAUAUUGGUACCCUCUGGGUAUCGUGUGGUAGUGGUGAGGAUCUGAUAGUGUUCUUAUAGGCUUCUUAGAGGGACUCUUUGCAUCUUUAGCAAAUGGAAGUUUGAGGCAAAAAACAGGUCUGUGAUGCCCCUUCGAUGUUCUGGGCUGCACGCGCGUUACAAUGACGCAUGCAACGAGUUAUUAAAUUCCUGGCCCGAUGGGGUUGGGUAAUCUUUUUAAAGUGCGUCGUGAUGGGGAUAGAGCAUUGCAAUUAUUGUUCUUGAACGAGGAAUUCCUAGUAAUUGCAGGUCAUCAACCUGCGAUGAUUACGU
RNAcentral lists this ribosomal RNA (511 nucleotides) under uncultured eukaryote. RNAcentral describes it as "bacterial SSU rRNA". It matches the Rfam family "Eukaryotic small subunit ribosomal RNA", at positions 1214 to 1650 of the family's 1831-position model. The record is from RNAcentral.